CUGGCAUGAAUGAAUCUGCUUCAGGUUGGAGGCAAACCAUCUUCUUGUGGAAGUACCAUGUUGGCCAAUCUCCAACUACUGGAAGGACAUUUGAAUUCUUGGACCUUGAUUUUGACAUUUCUAUGAGAAUUUUCAGAUAACUUGACUGGGAUAUGGUUCUGAAGAUCCAUAUAGUGGCCAUAUGAACAGCAUUGGAUAGUUGUCGUCCUUGUGGUGUCUUAACAACAUUGAUAUUGUGGAAGUCAUCAAUCAUUAGGAUCAGAAAAUUGCCCUUCAAAUAAAACGGUGUCUUGCAUAUCCAAGGACCAUACCAGCUGACAUUCCAGUUGAUGUCAGGCCAU
Molecule: long non-coding RNA, 341 nt
Organism: Exaiptasia diaphana
Lineage: Eukaryota; Metazoa; Cnidaria; Anthozoa; Actiniaria; Aiptasiidae
Exons: 3
Source: RefSeq, a predicted model, not a curated record